CAUUGAACUGGACUGAGCUGCAGAGGCUGGGACCAGAUCUGUACAUUUUUUUCCACUCACUCGGUAUAUAGCAGUGUUGUGAAUGAAAGCCUAAUGAGAGUAGUUAUAAUGAAUUCUUGGUUUUUAUCUUAUCCAUACAAAAGAAUUCUUAAUAUGCCCCUCUGGCCCAGAAAUUCUAAUAGAAUGAAUGAUAUUUGAGGCAGCAAGCAUGUAGGAUGCUCAGGCCUAAAUGUAUUUUGGCAUACUGGGUAGCAUCCUCUGAUACCUUUUGAUAAUGAGGUUGAAUAUUCUGAAGCCAUGUACUGCUUUUAUCUCCAAAUGCUAGACUUCAUGUUUAAACUGGAGCCACCAGAUUUUACUACUAUAAUUGUUUUCUUUAUCUUCCCCCUUUUGUCCCAUAUUUUUAUAUAUGUGUGAAAAAUCUAAAUAAUAAAUGUAGAAAUCCCAUUCUUAUGUAGAUCAAAGAUGGAAAUACUCAAAAGGGUAAAUCUGUUAUGCUCUUCCAUAUACUUUUGGCUGGCUACCAUUCCAGGCACUUGUAAACUUAGUCUGUCACUUUAAAAGUUGGAAUAAGUAGAAGAGAUAAGGAGAAGAUGACAGAAGAUGCUUGUCAAGAGGGUAAUGAUUUUGGGGAAUACUGAGUAAAUCAUUUCUUAUUGAAAUUCAUUUCCUGAUUGCCCUCUUUUGAGUCAUAACCUGAGCUGGUCUUUUUUCAUUUGGGGAGAAGGGAGAGCAGGUUUUUUAGUAAGUUGAGUAACAAUAACACAAUAGAAAUAGGAUAAAGACCCAGGGAUACCUAGAAAGCUUUUCUAUUUACAGUGAUCACUGUUAUGUAAGAGGAACAGAUGGUGGGAACUCUCAGCACACUGACUCACUACCCCAAAGUUGACUGCAUAAGGUCAGAGGUAUUCAGUUGAGCUGCUGAAAGAAUCUCUGUGCCUUGUACAAUGUUGUCAUGAACAUUUUGUCUCACUGUAAACUACAUUUAAAUCAAUAGCAGGUUGGUGCCUGAUAUGCCAUAUUCUGAUGACCUUUGUAUCGGCAUGUUUCCUUCUCCCCUCCUAAUCUUAUACUUUAGUGCAUCGACCACCCACUGGUUUCACUCAUAUAGAAGGAAGAAAAGUGCAGCACAAAUGAGAGAAAAAAGCUACUGUUACAUAGUUUCUUACUUCAUAUUAUCAACCUCAGGUAUCUAGGAUACAAAAUAAUGCUUUGAAGUUCAUCCAUUGGAAAACCAAUAUUGGUGUGCAUGUAAUAUCUGGAAAUGCUUUUCAAAUUUGAUUAAUCUUUUUUUUCCAAAACUAUAUGAUUGUUGAAACCUUUCUUACGUUCAUUUUAUGACUGACAUUUUUACAUUAUCAAGGCAUGGGCUUUGGGAUACUUUUAAUUCCCGCUUAUAUAAUUUGGCAAGUAAAAUCUUAGGCUCCCUGUCUAAUAAGAAAACUAACUUCACUGUGGGAAUAAACAGUGUUUGUAAUCUAAUGUGCUGGCUACACUUUUUAAGGGCUUUUUAGUCCCCUUAGCUAAAAAGGUGCUAUUUUUUUUUAAUAGCAAAUGUGUUAGUGUUCCAAUUUUGUACAUGUGGAUAAUAUUAGUGAAUUUCUGUGUUUCAUCUGCAUUUAAAAGCCAAACAUCAUCUUUUAUUAAACUUAUACAUACAGGAG
Molecule: long non-coding RNA, 1664 nt
Organism: Sarcophilus harrisii (Tasmanian devil)
Lineage: Eukaryota; Metazoa; Chordata; Mammalia; Dasyuromorphia; Dasyuridae
Source: Ensembl